GGAGGGUAUAGCUCAGUGAUAGAGCACAUGCUUUCCAUGUGUGAGGUCCUGGGUUCAAUCCCCAGUACCUCCA
Non-coding RNA from Camelus dromedarius (Arabian camel), 73 nucleotides. Lineage: Eukaryota; Metazoa; Chordata; Mammalia; Artiodactyla; Camelidae. The record is from the annotation of a RefSeq genome assembly.